RNAcentral lists this ribosomal RNA (1449 nucleotides) under uncultured organism. RNAcentral describes it as "SSU rRNA". It matches the Rfam family "Bacterial small subunit ribosomal RNA". The record is from RNAcentral.
CGCUAGCUACAGGCUUAACACAUGCAAGUCGAGGGGCAGCAUGGUCUUAGCUUGCUAAGGCCGAUGGCGACCGGCGCACGGGUGAGUAACGCGUAUCCAACCUGCCUUACACUCUUGGACAGCCUUCUGAAAGGGAGAUUAAUACAAGAUGUUAUCAUGAGUAAGCAUUUUCGCAUGAUUAAAGGUUUACCGGUGUAAGAUGGGGAUGCGUUCCAUUAGAUAGUAGGCGGGGUAACGGCCCACCUAGUCUUCGAUGGAUAGGGGUUCUGAGAGGAAGGUCCCCCACAUUGGAACUGAGACACGGUCCAAACUCCUACGGGAGGCAGCAGUGAGGAAUAUUGGUCAAUGGACGAGAGUCUGAACCAGCCAAGUAGCGUGAAGGAUGAAGGUUCUAUGGAUUGUAAACUUCUUUUAUACGGGAAUAAACGAAUCCACGUGUGGAUUUUUGCAUGUACCGUAUGAAUAAGGAUCGGCUAACUCCGUGCCAGCAGCCGCGGUAAUACGGAGGAUCCGAGCGUUAUCCGGAUUUAUUGGGUUUAAAGGGAGCGUAGAUGGGUUGUUAAGUCAGUUGUGAAAGUUUGCGGCUCAACCGUAAAAUUGCAAUUGAUACUGGCAGUCUUGAGUACAGUUGAGGUAGGCGGAAUUCGUGGUGUAGCGGUGAAAUGCUUAGAUAUCACGAAGAACUCCGAUUGCGAAGGCAGCUUACUAACCUGUAACUGACAUUGAUGCUCGAAAGUGUGGGUAUCAAACAGGAUUAGAUACCCUGGUAGUCCACACGGUAAACGAUGAAUACUCGCUGUAGGCGAUAUACAGUCUGCGGCCAAGCGAAAGCAUUAAGUAUUCCACCUGGGGAGUACGCCGGCAACGGUGAAACUCAAAGGAAUUGACGGGGGCCCGCACAAGCGGAGGAACAUGUGGUUUAAUUCGAUGAUACGCGAGGAACCUUACCCGGGCUUAAAUUGCAACCGAAUAUGGCGGAAACGCUAUAGCUAGCAAUAGCGGUUGUGAAGGUGCUGCAUGGUUGUCGUCAGCUCGUGCCGUGAGGUGUCGGCUUAAGUGCCAUAACGAGCGCAACCCUUGCCGAUAGUUACUAACAGGUCAUGCUGAGGACUCUGUCGGGACUGCCAUCGUAAGAUGUGAGGAAGGUGGGGAUGACGUCAAAUCAGCACGGCCCUUACGUCCGGGGCUACACACGUGUUACAAUGGGGGGUACAGAGGGCUGCUACCACGCAAGUGGAUGCCAAUCCCAAAAACCUCUCUCAGUUCGGAUUGAAGUCUGCAACCCGACUUCAUGAAGCUGGAUUCGCUAGUAAUCGCGCAUCAGCCACGGCGCGGUGAAUACGUUCCCGGGCCUUGUACACACCGCCCGUCAAGCCAUGGGAGCCGGGGGUACCUGAAGUGCGUAACCGCAAGGAGCGCCCUAGGGUAAAACUGGUGACUGGGGCUAAG